RNAcentral lists this transfer RNA (85 nucleotides) under Atopobium sp. RNAcentral describes it as "tRNA-Leu". It matches the Rfam family "tRNA". Rfam says of the family: Transfer RNA (tRNA) molecules are approximately 80 nucleotides in length. Their secondary structure includes four short double-helical elements and three loops (D, anti-codon, and T loops). Lineage: Bacteria; Bacillati; Actinomycetota; Coriobacteriia; Coriobacteriales; Atopobiaceae. The record is from RNAcentral.
GGGGGCGUGGCGGAAUUGGCAGCCGCAGGGGACUUAAAAUCCCUCGACUUCGGUCUUGCGGGUUCGAGUCCCGCCGCCCCUACCA